ACGGAUCACAACGCAUUCAGUGUCGAUU
This 28-nucleotide non-coding RNA is filed under the name Bombyx mori (domestic silkworm). Lineage: Eukaryota; Metazoa; Arthropoda; Insecta; Lepidoptera; Bombycidae. The record is from RNAcentral.